UCACAGAUGCGACGCAUCGUGUCCCGGA
This 28-nucleotide small RNA is filed under the name Bombyx mori (domestic silkworm). Its description in RNAcentral is "ovarian small RNA-6830". The record is from RNAcentral. Lineage: Eukaryota; Metazoa; Arthropoda; Insecta; Lepidoptera; Bombycidae.